GGGUUAGUAGGUUGGUCAUGCCUCUGGUAUGUACUGGUCUCACUGAUUCCUCCUUCCUGAUGAACCUUAAUGCCAUUAAUUUGGUGUUGCGGGGAAUUUGGACUGUUACUUUGAAAAAAUUAGAGUGUUCAAAGCAGGCCUUUGCUCGAAUACGUUAGCAUGGAAUAAUAGAAUAGGACGUGCGGUUCUAUUUUGUAGGUAUCUAGAACCGCCGUA
RNAcentral lists this ribosomal RNA (216 nucleotides) under Campeiostachys nutans. Its description in RNAcentral is "Elymus nutans partial small subunit ribosomal RNA". The stretch from base 44 to 216 matches the Rfam family "Eukaryotic small subunit ribosomal RNA", at positions 690 to 864 of the family's 1831-position model. Lineage: Eukaryota; Viridiplantae; Streptophyta; Magnoliopsida; Poales; Poaceae. The record is from RNAcentral.